RNAcentral lists this transfer RNA (72 nucleotides) under Candidatus Zixiibacteriota bacterium. RNAcentral describes it as "candidate division Zixibacteria bacterium (sediment metagenome) tRNA-Asn". It matches the Rfam family "tRNA". From Rfam's summary of the family: Transfer RNA (tRNA) molecules are approximately 80 nucleotides in length. Their secondary structure includes four short double-helical elements and three loops (D, anti-codon, and T loops). Lineage: Bacteria; Pseudomonadati; Candidatus Zixiibacteriota. The record is from RNAcentral.
UGAGGCGUAGCACAAGGGCAGUGCAGCCGGCUGUUAACCGGAAGAUUGUAGGUUCGAAUCCUACCGCCUCAG